AGAGGAAGUAAAAGUCGUAACAAGGUUUCCGUAGGUGAACCUGCGGAAGGAUCAUUACCUAGAGUUGUAGGCUUUGCCUGCUAUCUCUUACCCAUGUCUUUUAAGUACCUUACGUUUCCUCGGCGGGUCCGCCCGCCGAUUGGACAAUUUAAACCAUUUGCAGUUGCAAUCAGCGUCUGAAAAAACUUAAUAGUUACAACUUUCAACAACGGAUCUCUUGGUUCUGGCAUCGAUGAAGAACGCAGCGAAAUGCGAUAAGUAGUGUGAAUUGCAGAAUUCAGUGAAUCAUCGAAUCUUUGAACGCACAUUGCGCCCCUUGGUAUUCCAUGGGGCAUGCCUGUUCGAGCGUCAUUUGUACCUUCAAGCUCUGCUUGGUGUUGGGUGUUUGUCUCGCCUCUGCGUGUAGACUCGCCUCAAAACAAUUGGCAGCCGGCGUAUUGAUUUCGGAGCGCAGUACAUCUCGCGCUUUGCACUCAUAACGACGACGUCCAAAAGUACAUUUUUACACUCUGACCUC
This 517-nucleotide small RNA is filed under the name Paraconiothyrium fuckelii. RNAcentral's name for it is "eukaryotic LSU rRNA". The stretch from base 198 to 351 matches the Rfam family "5.8S ribosomal RNA". Lineage: Eukaryota; Fungi; Ascomycota; Dothideomycetes; Pleosporales; Didymosphaeriaceae. The record is from RNAcentral.